GAUGAACGCUGGCGGCGUGCCUAAUACAUGCAAGUCGAGCGAACGGACGAGAAGCUUGCUUCUCUGAUGUUAGCGGCGGACGGGUGAGUAACACGUGGAUAACCUACCUAUAAGACUGGGAUAACUUCGGGAAACCGGAGCUAAAACCGGAUGAUAUUUUGAACCGCAUGGUUCAAAAGUGAAAGACGGUCUUGCUGUCACUUAUAGAUGGAUCCGCGCUGCAUUAGCUAGUUGGUAAGGUAACGGCUUACCAAGGAAACGAUGCAUAGCCGAGCUGAGAGGGUGAUCGGCCACCCUGGAACUGAGACACGGUCCAGACCCCUCCGGGAGGAAGCAGUAGGGAAUCUUCCGCGAUGGGCGAAAACAUGACGGAGCACCGCCGCGUGAGUGAUGAAGGUCUUCGGAUCGUAAAACUCUGUUAUUGGGGAAGAACAUAUGUGUAAGUAACUGUGCACAUCUUGACGGUACCUAAUCAGAAAGCCACGGCUAACUACGUG
This 497-nucleotide ribosomal RNA is filed under the name uncultured bacterium. RNAcentral's name for it is "partial 16S ribosomal RNA". It matches the Rfam family "Bacterial small subunit ribosomal RNA", at positions 28 to 507 of the family's 1533-position model. The record is from RNAcentral.